RNAcentral lists this unclassified non-coding RNA (890 nucleotides) under Centruroides sculpturatus (bark scorpion). RNAcentral's name for it is "transcription factor 24-like, transcript variant X2". The record is from RNAcentral. Lineage: Eukaryota; Metazoa; Arthropoda; Arachnida; Scorpiones; Buthidae.
UUCAGAUGGUAGAACGUAGGAAAAACACUAAAAACUGUAAAAUUUCAUUAAAAAUCCAUUAAAUAUUCUUGCAGGACUAUCGAGAACAUGAACUCAUACAUUUCAUAUGAAACGUCCGAGUUCAUUGAAGAGUUAUCCAGGUUGACGUCUACAAAUCAGACAAAUUUCAUCAAAGACAUAUCCAAGCCUAGAAAACGUUCGAGAUCACCUGCUGUAUCGAGAAAUGCAGCUAGAGAAAGGACUAGAGUCAAAAGUUUAAGGAAUGCAUUUCUAAAUUUGCAAAGGACCUUACCGUACGUUCCACCCAAUACAAAAUUAUCGAAAUUGGAUGUUCUGAUACUUGCAACCACUUAUAUUUCUCAUCUGAUGAAACUUUUAAAUCAGGAUACUGUAAAUUCGGAAGCCGAAUGCCCACUUUUAUCAUCCUGUUCCAUCGAGCUGAAGAGCCCUGUUUGGGAAUCCAGUUAUCUUCAUCCCGUCAAGAAAUGGCCUAUGAGAUCUAGACUUUACGCGGGUGUUCAAGAGGAUUCGACAAAUUUAUGCUUGGGUCUUGGUCUGUAUCAAGAGCCAACUAAUAAUGUCAAUAAACGACAAUUAUCGUACUGAGAUGAUUGGUGAUAAAUCGUUGCUGGUCAGCGAAUGAUGAUGAUGAUGAUGAUGAUGAUGAUGUUGAUAUUUACAAAAAUACAGCAAUAAUUUCCAAUUAAUACUCUUAAAUAAUUGAUUUUUAAUGACUAUUUUUGCAUUAUAUUCAUGUUCGAGAUGGAUUUUUCUGUUACGACAAGCUUCUAUGUACGAAUAUAAAUUCUUUUACUUUUGUAAAUAAAUUUAUAUAUUUUUAAAUGUAUCCCUUGUGUUUUUUGGGAAUAAAUUUCAUUAAAAUCACGUAA